Long non-coding RNA from Ostrea edulis (European flat oyster), 993 nucleotides. RefSeq lists it as uncharacterized. The record is from RefSeq and is a predicted model, not a curated record. The transcript has 2 exons. Lineage: Eukaryota; Metazoa; Mollusca; Bivalvia; Ostreida; Ostreidae.
CACUCACAAUUAAAUUCAUGUCAUAAGGCCAAAACAAAAAAUAUGUUUGUUUCAGGUCGCCUCUGAUUUUAAAAAAAAGGAUAGGUAGGGAGGUUUUUUUGUGUUUUUUUUUUUUUAAAUAUUAAAAAAAAAAAUAAAUAUGUGCCUUUGAAUCAAUGAAAAUUUGAUAGUUAAAGUUGUUAUACAAUGUGUUUAAUAGAUAAAAAAUGGGUUCAGAGCACAAUGUUUAAUUGACAAAAUACACAGUAUGUGAUGGAAAAUUGAAAAAAAUUAAUAGGGUCGGUGGAUAUAUUUAGGGUCGGUCGGGCGACCUGAAACAAACAUAUUUUUUAUUUUGGCCUAAUGUUGUCUGGACAGUUUGCUGUAUGACGUUUAUAUAGUAAAAAAAUGAUGCAGCGGAUUGUAAACAAUUUGUGUGACCUUGUCCUAAUUUUAUAUCCCGACAUUUACCCAAACGAAAGAGCUGCUUGUGGCACUAAGGAAAUGGGACAUGAUGAGCAUCCUUAAUCUACGCCGAGACUGAAUUACUUUUAGUGAUUACUGUGGUCAAUACAGCGAAGACAAACUUGGAGGGCUGUUAAGGAAGUACCCACCUGAUAUGAUCUGAUGAGACUCUGUACAUGAUAGUAUUCUUGGCUCUGUUUCUGCAAGUCUACAGAAGUGGAAGGCUGAGCAUGUGGAAUCAAUUGAGAUGGACUGGUGAAUUCCCCAUUUUUAAAAUAGGCGUCCCAGGACUUAACAGAAUGGAAAAAGCAGUAAAUCAAUUUAAACUGGACAGUAUAUAAUUGUGCCUAUAUAUAUAAAUACAACAUGUCUUCCCCCUAUACAUUCUCUCAGUUCUCUAAAAGCUGGGCCAGUACAUUAAAAUGGGAAUGUGUUAUUCAUGAGAAACAAUUAAUAAUCAACUCAAAAUUCUUCAAUAUGUUGUCACAUAUAAAUGUCUUCUUUAUAAUCUAUCACAUCUGUAAAAUACAUUAAACUAAAGACUGAAAA